AUUAGGAUAGCUCAGCUGGUAGUGUAGAGGACUAAAAAUCCUUGUGUCACCAGUUCAAAUCUGGUUCCUAGCA
This is a non-coding RNA of Ilex paraguariensis (yerba mate), 73 nucleotides long. The record is from the annotation of a GenBank genome assembly. Lineage: Eukaryota; Viridiplantae; Streptophyta; Magnoliopsida; Aquifoliales; Aquifoliaceae.